UGGGGGAUCGUUCAAUGGUAGGACACAUGGUUUUGGUCCAUGGGAUUGGGGUUCGACUCCCUAUCCCCCAGCAA
This 74-nucleotide transfer RNA is filed under the name Fidelibacterota bacterium. RNAcentral's name for it is "tRNA-Gln". It matches the Rfam family "tRNA". From Rfam's summary of the family: Transfer RNA (tRNA) molecules are approximately 80 nucleotides in length. The record is from RNAcentral. Lineage: Bacteria; Pseudomonadati; Fidelibacterota.